RNAcentral lists this ribosomal RNA (478 nucleotides) under uncultured bacterium. RNAcentral describes it as "partial 16S ribosomal RNA". It matches the Rfam family "Bacterial small subunit ribosomal RNA", at positions 28 to 523 of the family's 1533-position model. The record is from RNAcentral.
GACGAACGCUGGCGGCGUGCCUAACACAUGCAAGUCGAGCGGUUCAAGCAGCAAUGUUUGGAUAGCGGCGGACGGGUGAGUAACGCGUGGGCAACCUGCCUUCUACAGGGGGAUAACACAGGGAAACUUGUGCUAAUACCGCAUAGCAUACGGAAAGGACAUCCUUUUUGUAUCAAAGGAGGAAUCCGGUAGAAGAUGGGCCCGCGUCCGAUUCGCUAGUUGGAGGUGUAACGGACCACCAAGGGGACGAACGGUAGCCGAACUGAGAGGUUGAGCGGCCACAUUGGGACUGAGACACGGCCCAGACUCCUACGGGAGGCAGCAGUGGGGAAUAUUGCGCAAUGGGGGAAACCCUGACGCAGCAACGCCGCGUGAAGGAUGAAGGUCUUCGGAUUGUAAACUUCUUUAGUCGGGGACGAAGAAAUGACGGUACCCGAAGAAUAAGCCACGGCUAACUACGUGCCAGCCGCCGCAGUAA